AGCUCCAGAAGCGUAUAUUUAAAUUGUUGCUGUUAAAAAGCUCGUAGUUGGAUUUCUGGUGUGGUGCGGCCGGUCCGUCGCCGAUAGGCGGUCGAGUACUGGCGUUGCGCCUACCAUCCCUUCUGGAGAGGCCGUCUGCGCUUCAUUGCGUGGUCGGAGUCACCGAUCCAGAUCGUUUACUUUGAAAAAAUUAGAGUGUUUAAAGCAGGCGUCAGCCACUGAAUACAUUAGCAUGGAAUAAUGAGAUAGGACUUUGGCCCUAUUUUGUUGGUUUCUAGGACUGAAGUAAUGAUUGAUAGGGACAGUUGGGGGUGCUAGUAUUUAACGGCCAGAGGUGAAAUUCUUGGAUUCGUUAAAGACUAACUAAUGCGAAAGCAUUCACCAAGGAUGUCUUCUUUAA
RNAcentral lists this ribosomal RNA (400 nucleotides) under phytoplankton environmental sample. RNAcentral describes it as "partial small subunit ribosomal RNA". It matches the Rfam family "Eukaryotic small subunit ribosomal RNA", at positions 587 to 976 of the family's 1831-position model. The record is from RNAcentral.